GAUGAACGCUGGCGGCGUGCCUAAUACAUGCAAGUCGAGCGAACAGACGAGGAGCUUGCUCCUCUGACGUUAGCGGCGGACGGGUGAGUAACACGUGGAUAACCUACCUAUAAGACUGGGAUAACUUCUGGAAACCGGAGCUAAUACCGGAUAAUAUAUUGAACCGCAUGGUUCAAUAGUGAAAGACGGUUUUGCUGUCACUUAUAGAUGGAUCCGCGCCGGAUUAGCUAGUUGGUAAGGUAACGGCUUACCAAGGCAACGAUGCGUAGCCGACCUGAGAGGGUGAUCGGCCACACUGGAACUGAGACACGGUCCAGACUCCUACGGGAGGCAGCAGUAGGGAAUCUUCCGCAAUGGGCGAAAGCCUGACGGAGCAACGCCGCGUGAGUGAUGAAGGUCUUCGGAUCGUAAAACUCUGUUAUUAGGGAAGAACAAAUGUGUAAGUAACUAUGCACGUCUUGACGGUACCUAAUCAGAAAGCCACGGCUAACUACGUG
Molecule: ribosomal RNA, 497 nt
Filed under: uncultured bacterium
Lineage: Bacteria
Description: partial 16S ribosomal RNA
Rfam family: Bacterial small subunit ribosomal RNA
Source: RNAcentral